This is an RNA transcript of Daphnia magna, 1157 nucleotides long. It is a transcript of the gene named probable RNA-binding protein 18, with no coding region annotated. Lineage: Eukaryota; Metazoa; Arthropoda; Branchiopoda; Diplostraca; Daphniidae. The record is from RefSeq and is a predicted model, not a curated record. The transcript is spliced from 7 exons.
CGUUGCAAAAUAACCAAAUUGCACAUUGCCAUCAAUCGAAAAUCGAUUGUUGAUGUGUUUUGUUGUAAGGGCUUUGUGUUGUUUGGCGAAAAUCGAAAGUGAGAAGAAAAACAAGCUAAAAUGAAUUCGAAUACCGAGAUGGAUAAAGACGAUCCAAUGUUAGACUUGUAUACUCAUCCUAAUAAUGAUAGCCGGAUCUGGGUCGGUAAUCUUGACUCAAGAGUGACAGAGUUUGAAUUGGUAAAACUGUUUCAAAAUGCUGGUACCAUUGACAAGCUUGAAUACCUCUUCCACAAAAUUGGACCCCAAGCAGGCCAACCCAGAGGAUAUGCUUUUCUCACAUUUAGUAAAAGAGAAGAAGCUAUACGAGCUAGAAAAGAAUUUGAUGGAAAGUCUCUUCUUGGACGUACUCUUUUAGUGAAACCUGCACGAAGUGUCCAGAAAGAUGACCUUGCAGGACCUAAAACAACUCAACUCAGCAUACCUGCAUUGAGUGGAGCAAAAGACAAUAAACAUAAAUUAAAUCUUGAACAGCAGAUCAAAGCAAUUGAAAGCAAACUGAAAGCAAUGGAAAAUUCACCAGCAACACUUCCUGAUUUGCCACCAAAUUUCGUAUCCCCUCUUAGCCGGAUGGCUGCCAGACCAGCGGUUCAACCUUAUCCUAGUAGGUCUAAUCGGUCUAGGGGUUCCAGACCGUACCGAAGCCGUGGAGGCCAUAGAGACCGGCGACGUUAAAAUUUUAUACAUGACUAUGGCAAUUUCAGAUGUUCGCCAGUACAAGACAAAGUGUUAAGCACUGAUUUUUAAUAUUUAUUAUUGUCAUUAACAAGAUCCCGUUCGUCUUGAGAUGUAUUGAAAUUCCGCGUGAUGGUGAGCUCAAGAAACCAAGUAAAGGGUCCUAUGUUUUGGAAUUCUCAAUUUACCGUACAACUAUCUAACAACAUCUUAAUCCAGUGACAACCAAAACACGCUUGACCGGCAGAGUUUUAAAAAAUGUUUUACGAAACGUAAACCUGCAUUCAAAAUUCUUACCACACAUUAGAAAUGGAGAAACUGUGUGAUGGAUAACACAUAGAUGGAAAGUUUACAUUUUUCAUUAUCAUUUGUUUGUUGUUUUUUUUUUUUUCAUUGUUUUAAUAAAAAAUUUUAAAUUUCAA